Caretta caretta (loggerhead turtle) is the source of this 826-nucleotide non-coding RNA. The record is from RefSeq and is a predicted model, not a curated record. NCBI's taxonomy places the organism in Eukaryota, Metazoa, Chordata, Testudines, Cheloniidae.
UCUAGGCCAUGAAAGCUUAUGCCCAAAUAAAUGUGUUAGUCUCUAAGGUGCUACAAGGACUCCUUGUUGUUUUUGCUGAUACAGACUAACACAGCUACCCCUCUGAAACCAGUGAUAGCGAAAAUGCUUGCAGUGAGAAACCAGUAGCAGUUUGAACAAAGAAUGGCAUAUCUUCAGUUUCUGGAAAAGCAAAAAAUAACUGAUACGGAAAGAGAACGCCUGUGUUUUGAACAUGAACAGAGACUGGCAUAUAUUCGAUUACAGGAACUAGAAGCUAAGCAAAAGUGGACAGACUUAAGCUCCAACUCAAGAGAAUAAAGGAACAACAGGAACUGUAUCAUCCUGAAAAGCCAGCUUCUCUGAACAACAAAGAUGGGGAUAGAAUCUAUCCAGUUUGUAACAAUGUUGCACAUCAUCUGUGAACGGUGGAGGAACAAGGAAAUUGCCUUAUGUUAAUUCUAUAUCUAAGUACUGGUGAUGGACCUCCUGCAAAGAUGGACCUCCCCGAGGAACUCCAACUUGUCAAAGAGGACAUGAAAUUGUAUAAAAGAUCCUUGGGUCCUGAUCCUAUUCAUCUCAGAGCUGCUUGAAGCUUCAUACAGUGGAAACUUAGGCCAUAAGGACUGCGAUCCCAGUUCUAACUGGAUCACCCUGAAAUAUAAACAUUGGACUAUAACCUAUAGACUAUUUCUGAAAGAACUCUUUGCAACUAUAAAGCUCACCAUCUCUACUAUGAAUCUGAAUCUUAAGAAUUGAACUCAUGUCUGUAUGUAUAUUGAUCUUUUAACCAUACUCUCUCUCUUUUGUUUUUUAAUAAAAUUUAGUU